This 484-nucleotide ribosomal RNA is filed under the name uncultured bacterium. Its description in RNAcentral is "partial 16S ribosomal RNA". It matches the Rfam family "Bacterial small subunit ribosomal RNA", at positions 30 to 507 of the family's 1533-position model. The record is from RNAcentral.
AUUGAACGCUGGCGGCAGGCCUAACACAUGCAAGUCGAGCGGAUGAAGGGAGCUUGCUCCUGGCUUCAGCGGCGGACGGGUGAGUAAUGCCUAGGAAUCUGCCUGGUAGUGGGGGAUAACGUCCGGAAAUGGGCGCUAAUACCGCAUACGUCCUGAGGGAGAAAGUGGGGGAUCUUCGGACCUCACGCUAUCAGAUGAGCCUAGGUCGGAUUAGCUAGUUGGUGGGGUAAAGGCCUACCAAGGCGACGAUCCGUAACUGGUCUGAGAGGAUGAUCAGUCACACUAGAACUGAAACACGGUCCAGACUCAUACGGGAGGCAGCAGUGGGGAAUAUUGGAAAGUGGGCGAAAGCCUGAUCCAGCCAUGCCGCGUGAGUGAAGAAGGUCUUCGGAUUGUGAAGCACUUUAAGUUGGGAGGAAGGGCAGUAAGUUAAUCCCUUGCUGUUUUGACGGUACCAACAGAAUAAGCACCGGCUAACUUCGUG